CCACUGUCAGGUGUGGUGGCGACAACAGCCUCGUCUCCCGUGAGAAGCAAGUGCAGAGUAAAUGCUUGGAGGGUGUCUAGGAAACAGCUGGACGUGGCCUGGUGUACUGCAGAGAAAUGACUUCCGUAAUGUGCAUUGGUCACUGACGCUGAUGCCAGUGGAUUGUUCUGUGAGGAAAUCAAGGACAUGCUGUUCUGCAUCAGGGUGGAGGCACGGUGACAACAGUCACAGCACCUGUGGACUCAGGACCUGGGCGAUGAAGAAUCAGCUGACAGAGCCAAGGCACAUAAAUAUUACACAUUUCAGGCUAAAAGGAAAAAUAUGGUUUAAAACCAAAAUGUGAAAAUAUCUGUAUCCCAGUGCCUAUGGAACUUUUCUGCUAUGCACAAUUCUAGACAUACUUUCAAGUGUCUGUUUACUGCAUGACGUGGCUUUAUGAUGUGAAAAGAACAUUUGACUGAGAGUUAGGUUUUUUUGUCACUCUGUUAUGAGAUAUUGGGCAAAGCCCCCAUGUCUCUGGGUUGUUUAUUCAAAUCAUAAUUCCUAGUGUUGUUGUGAUAAUUAAAUUUGGGAAAUGCGGGUAAAAAUGUUUUUAAAAUAUGGUGC
Molecule: long non-coding RNA, 606 nt
Filed under: Equus caballus (horse)
Lineage: Eukaryota; Metazoa; Chordata; Mammalia; Perissodactyla; Equidae
Description: lncRNA (ENSECAG00000048442.1)
Source: RNAcentral